Non-coding RNA from Pelobates cultripes (western spadefoot toad), 275 nucleotides. The record is from the annotation of a GenBank genome assembly. NCBI's taxonomy places the organism in Eukaryota, Metazoa, Chordata, Amphibia, Anura, Pelobatidae.
CCUUGCAAUCCAUGUGCACUGUAUGUGCAUGUCUGGCCUGCUACCCCUUGGUCACUGCAGGAGACAGGAGGAUGGCCUAAUCUUGCUACCUCUAGGGUCACCGCAAGUAAAUCCAAAUGCCCUGUAUGUGCAUGCCCAGCCUGCUACCUCUUGGUCACUGCAGGAAUCAUGGUGAUGGCAUGAUCUUGCUACCCCUAGGGUCACAGCAAGUAAAUCCAUAUGCCCUGCAUGUGCAUGCCCAGCCUGCUACCUCUUGGUCACUGCAGGAAUCAUGG